GAUGAACGCUGGCGGCGUGCCUAAUACAUGCAAGUCGAGCGGUAAGGCCUCUUCGGAGGUACACGAGCGGCGGACGGCUGAGUAACACGUAGGAACGUACCCCAAAGUGAGGGAUAAGCACCAGAAAUGGUGUCUAAUACCGCAUGUGGCCUUCGGGCUAAAGCUCCGGCGCUUUGGGAACGGCCUGCGCAUGAUUAGCUUGUUGGUGAGGUAAUAGCUCACCAAGGCGAUGAUCAUUAGCUGGUCUGAGAGGAUGACCAGCCAGACUGGGACUGAGAACGGCCCAGACUCCUACGGGAGGCAGCAGUAGGGAAUUUUCCACAAUGGGCGAAAGCCUGAUGGAGCAACGCCGCGUGCAGGAUGAAUGUCUUCGGAUUGUAAACUGCUUUUAUAUGUGACGAUUAUGACGGUAGCAUAUGAAUAAGGAUCGGCUAACUCCGUGCCAGCAGCCGCGGUAA
RNAcentral lists this ribosomal RNA (458 nucleotides) under uncultured bacterium. RNAcentral describes it as "partial 16S ribosomal RNA". It matches the Rfam family "Bacterial small subunit ribosomal RNA", at positions 28 to 523 of the family's 1533-position model. The record is from RNAcentral.